RNAcentral lists this ribosomal RNA (253 nucleotides) under uncultured bacterium. RNAcentral's name for it is "partial 16S ribosomal RNA". It matches the Rfam family "Bacterial small subunit ribosomal RNA", at positions 524 to 776 of the family's 1533-position model. The record is from RNAcentral.
GACAGAGGGUGCAAACGUUGUUCGGAAUUACUGGGCGUAAAGCGCGUGUAGGCGGCCGGGCAUGUCGGAUGUGAAAUCCCGUGGCUCAACCACGGAAGUGCACCCGAAACUGCCCAGCUUGAGUCUCGGAGAGGAAGGCGGAAUGCUUGGUGUAGAGGUGAAAUUUGUAGAUAUCAAGCAGAACACCUGCGGCGAAGGCGGCCUUCUGGACGGUGACUGACGCUGAGACGCGAAAGCGUGGGGAGCAAACAGG